AAACCAUAACUUUCCCUCUAUUGUUAAGAGGCUGAACAUACAAAACAGAUCAACUCCAGAGUCAGUGUAAGCCAAGUUGCAGUUUUCUUGAGAAAUAAUGUUAGUUGAAACAGUUUUCAGUAUUUGUUUCAGCUAAGUCAUCAGUCAGCUAAAAUCCUUCAUUAGUCAGCUAAAGCGCAGCAAAUUAAUAAUACGUUCCUUUGUUGAUAACUCCUUUCUCAUUUAAUGGUGCCUCCAUUGGUUGCUGUUACAUUAAAACACUGGCAAAGUAAUAAAGUAUUUCCUUGCUUACUCUUUUAUCACUCUGGUUAGGCUAUGGCUUAAAAAGAAUAAACAUACUUUUGGUAAACUAAAAGAAUGCUAAAUAAAUGAUUAACUUGAGAAUAUAAGAAAAACAUCAUAAGUAGCUAAUUAAUUUGCAGAUAAUGGGAGAUAACAUGUAACUGAUGCUUCUCCAGUUGGCCUCUAUUUCCUGGCUAUGGAUCUAAAUAAUGUCAAAAUGUCACACUCCAUCAUUUGCCACUUUACUGAGAAGUGGGGGAGUAAACAGAGAUACAACUCAGAAGCAUUGUGAUUCAAGUACGGAGGAGGCAUGAAGCCAAGGAGACUACAGAUGAAUGUACUUGGAAUCCAGCCUGGGCCAUGACCAGACUUGUACCCAUUAGGGUACAGACUCAUCUUGGGAAACAGAAUCUACUCCUAAUCAUCCAGAAUGCCCUUGAAGUAGGUGGGCAGGCUCUAUGCUGCAGGUGGUGAAGUGGCCCUGACAUACCUUAUUCUUCCAGAGGCCCUUGAGGACUUCUAAGCCCUCUCACAUCAUCCAUCUAUUCCCAUUGAACCGAACCUUGCUUCAUAGUCACACUAAUCGCCAAAAGAGUUUCUGGCUAAGUGAGACCAAAGUACUCAUAACAACAAGCAUCUGUCAUCUACCAUAAUACUCUCUACUAUGGAUUUUAAUUGGUAGCAAUGAUUUCAAAACUUGACUGCUGUUGAGUUUUAGAUGAAUCAUCUUACCCAGCCCCUGCCCAUGCCUCCAACUGCAUCUUGAGCUACUCUCCAUUUGCUGAGGGCAUUUGCUCAGGACACUCCAGCUCCACUAGCCUUUUCCAGCUCCUCCAGCACUACGCUGACCUCCUUCCAACUCAUCCAACACAUCAAACUACUUCCUGCCUCAGAGCCUUCCCUCUGCUUGGACAUCUUUUUCUCCAUUUCUUGCUUGACCAACUUGUUUCUACUCAACUUCCAGAUUCCUGUUUUAAGGUUGGUUUUAAGAGCAGCCUUCUGAGAUCCUCCCAAGGUCAAGGGUUAGUCACCUGGUAAGAAGCUGCCAAUUGCAAAUAAGAGUGUGCACUUGCUGGAUGUCUUCUGUUUGCUCUCUUGACCCACCUUCUACCAUUCCCCACCUUCUUCUUUGCCUCCGGAAGGGAGCUUUCUGGACUGCACCAACAAGCUACUUUGUCCUCUGGCUUGUCCUCGGAUUCAGUCAGUGGGAGGUACCCACAAGGUGACUUAGAAGGCAGAAGAGGAAUGAGGUAAGGGAAAUAUUCCAGCAUACAGUUGUAAUACACUGUGGUGAAGGGGUACAGCUGCAGAUUUUUCACCUGUAAUGCCCCACUGGUAUUGUGGCUUACUGCAUUGCAUCAAGACUGCCUUCCUGUCCGGAAAACCCUCUAAGUACAAACAAGACUCUAAGUCCAGAUUUUAUUUUCCCCUGGUAUCAGAAUAUGGUAAUUUAAGAGCCCUGAGAAAUACUUUUUAGACUUUAAAAGGAAAUGUGUAACGUUCUUUUAUUAGAAUCUAUGUUUGGGUUGGUUUUUCAAAAAACUUAACAUAUGACCCAGUUAUCUUAUCGAUUUAUCAAGCUACCAGGUUUCAAGCAAAUGCAGGUGUGUAAUAUGACAUCUUUCAAGAAAAUAUUUUUCCUUAAAGAGAAAGAAUAAAAAUAUACUCAGAACUUCUGAGUUAAAACUUAGAGCAGGGGCAACUUUACUAGUUUAUGGUGUCUUUUAAUGAGACUACAAACUCUAAACUCAUAUUAUGUUUUAGUCUCAUUUCUAACUGUUCAGAUAUUUUACUUAUUUGUAUCAAAUGCAGUCAAAUGUACAUCAUUUACUAUAAAUAACAAUACUUGGGAAUCAGGGAGAGCUUAAUUCUACAUUUACUUGCUAACUAGUUUUGUCAUCUUGAGUUAAAGUCACCUAACCAACGUAAGCCUUAGUUUCCUUACCCACAAAAAUUUAGGAAGAUAGAAUAAGAACUACUUUAGUUCUUUCCAACUCUGAAGAAAUACAUAAGAUUUACUUUUUUAAGUUUAUAUUUUAGGAAAAGAACUAAUAUUUUAAAAUGCAUACUACAUGUGAAGAUUUACAUUAUUCAAUUUUAAUGGUAAUUCUGUAAGUUAGUAAGAGUAUAUCCAUUUUACAGAUCAAGAAAAUAAAGUUCAGAAAGUUAAAAAAACCUGUCAAGGAUCUCAAUGAUAAUUAGUUGCAAAGCCGGGACUCCUGGAGAUUCCAGAGCCCAGGAAGCUUUUUCACCUUGUCAUACUGACUCCCGUAUUUCAGUUACUUGACGGUCAUGGUUUUCAAAAAUAUAAACUGACAAAUAAGCAAUGCUCAUAAACCAAACACUUACACUGUGACAACUUGUUACAUGAUUGUUUUAAAGCUAAAAAGGUGUAAUCAUUGAUAGUUGGUUCUUUCAAAAUUUAUUUUCAAGUUUUACAUUCAGAGGUAGAUAAUAGGUUCUUAAUAACUCUUGAUAAUGUGAAAACUAUAGUACAGAUAGGCAACUCUCAGUAACUGUGAAGAAGUCAAUAAGGAUUAGAGAAUAACUUAAAAUUUUUAAAUAUUUUAGAAAAAAGUCAACUUAGCAUAUUUUACAAAGCUUCCUCAUAUGUCAAAUAUUUAGGCUAGAUCUAGGGUCAGUAAACUUUGCCUGUAAAGGGCUAUAGAACAAAUGCUUUAGGCUUUGUUUGCCACGUGGUCUCUGUUGCAACUACUUGACUCUACAACUACUUGACUCUGACUAUUGUAGUAUAUAAGCAAUAUGUAAAUGAGCAUAUGUGUCUAUGUUCCAAUAAAAUUUUAUUUACAAAAACAGGUGGUGGGCUAGAUUUGGCCCACAGGCUGUAGUUUGCUGCUGAUCCCUUGAUUAGAUGAAAAGCAAUGCCCUUACAGAGGCCCUUUAGGGUAUAUGUCUACUAGGGAAUAGUUCUCCAUGGGUCUAGCACAUUUUCACAUAUCUUAUAGGUAAAGGCAUUGCCUGCCUUUUCCCCAGACUAUCUUUUCUUUUCUUAAAAUUUAAAAUGUACUUUUUUUUUUUAGAGAUGGAGUCUUGCUAUGUUUGCCCAGGCUGGCCUUGAACUCCUAGGCUCAAGCGAUCCUCCUCUCUCAGUCUCCUGAGUGGGAUUACAGGCGCAUGCCACAAACCCAGUCCAGACUGUUUUUUCAAGGAUAAAUAUAUGAUAAACAGUCAACGAAGACAGAUAGUUGUCUCCCUAGAAAGAAAAGGGCAGGCAGGCUUACUGUCCAUUAUAAAAGAUUCAGGUCCUCCAAAUCAGAGUCCUCUACUAUAAUACAACUCCCUGUGUGUGCAGACAUCAGCUGGUCCUCUUCAUGUCAUCCUCAGAGACUUAGGGUUUGGAACUAGCAUAUCUGCAGACACUCUGUUGUAGGUAAAGAACUAUGUUUCAUCUCUGAUCCAGCAUUCUCAUGUUUUCUAUCCAUGAGACUUGCAAAUAAGGUCAAACUCUAACUUUUCACAAUUCUUGACAAUGUCUGUACUUUAUUGAAAGUGAUUUUAUAUGUAACACAUAUAUUACAUACAUAUAGAAAUGUAUGUUUAAAAAUGUGUUUUAAUUAGCCUAUCAAGUAUACUUAAUAUAUUUAUCAAAUAUUCAUUAAAUGUUUCCAUGAUAAGUGUAAACUAGGGAUACAACGAUCAGCGAGGCAGACAGACAUGAUUCGUGACUUCAUAGAACUUACAAACGUAAUAAAUAGUCAAGUACCUGGGAUUACUAGAAGUGAUUUGAAGUGUGUUUUAAAAAUAUAAGCAUUUUCUUUACCAAUGUACUCAUUCCAUACUUUUCUGGUAGAUUUGAAUAUGUCUUUACAGUCCAAAUUAAAUUAAAUGAAUUAAUUUAACUAUCAGUGGAAGAGAUCUUCUUCUCAUAUAAUAAGUCUGUAAUUUCAUACUGUAGAGCUGAUGAAAAGUAGGCAAGACACUCAUGAUUUUGACUCUGAUGGAGGUGCUGAUCAAAAUAAAAAUUAUUUAUAGGCAGAUAACAGGAAGGAGAAAGAAUAAAAAGCAUGAAAAGCUAAAAAAAAAUAAUAAGCCUGCAUAAUUAGCUCCUAAGUAAGGGGCAGACUAUACAGUGUAGUUUUGAAAAUAGUUAUCUUAGUUGACCUCUGGUAUUCUGGAUAAAUGUCCUAGGGGAAUAAAUCUCAGUGUGGUCAAAACACAAUUGUGUGCAAAUUCCAUCAACAUUCCUAAGGAAUUAGGCCCCAAUUCUGGCCCCUAACUCUCUGCCCAAACUAAUGUACCACUUCACACUACAUAGACCUUUAGCUGUCAUCAGUUUGUCUCCAUUCAGUUUCUUGAAAUCUCAUCCAUCUUUCAAAACUACUCACUACACCUCUGACAAAAAAGAAAAACAAAAACAAACAGCCCUCCCCAAUCAUCCAAAUUAGAAGUAAUUUCUGAAUUCCCAAAACACCCCAUGUAUGGUUUAAACUCUUACGGCACUUAAUAAUACUAUCUAAUGUUGUUAUCUGUGCAUAUCUGUGCACAGAGAACUCUAACUUAUGUGCCCCUCUAACUGCCUGUCUCUCCACAAUGGUGCCUUGUGUAGAAUAAGCACUAAUCUCAGCUUCUAUGUCUUUGUUCAAAACCCUCUCCAGAAGUGCUACAAAGGUCUCCUGCUCUUCAGCCUGCUCACGUAAAGCCCAGACUAUGGGCUUUACAUUUUCAGUACAUUAAGAUAAUCUUCUUCUAUUUCAUUUUAAGCUUUCAUGAAGUCGUAGUCAACACUCACUAAGUACUAUGUUAGGCACUGGAGAUCAAAGAUAAAUAUUAUAUAAACUCUGUUCUCAAGAAGAGCAAAGUGGAAGGAAGUAAUAUAAAUGGGCCCAGGAAAGGGUAAUAUAAGUGUCCCAAAGUGGGGCAACUUUUCCACCUGGUUGGAGACAGGGGACAUCAGGGGAAGGCUUUCUGGAGGAAGGGUCAAGAAAUAAACAUAUAAAAGUAACAUAAAUUCACAAAUGUCCACAAUGUGUUUGCUAUUUCAGAGUUCAACUUAAGGUCUUUUCUACCUUAGAAAUACUUCAUCACGAAUGAAUAUAAAAUAUAUACCAUUCAAUUAAAACUAAAUGCAUAUAAAAUAUAAACCAUUUCAAACACACAUAAAUCCACUGACAGGAAAUAAAAAUGUAAUUAUUGCAAACCAUUGUGAAGUCUCUUUUUAAAAAAUAGAUAAGAUGUUAAGAUGUAUUUGCAUAUAAACUUAAAAAUCAGAAAACUUAAUUUUCAUUAUGUGUAUAAUACGUUUUGUUCAUGACACAUAAAACUACUUGGAUUUAUCCAAAAGACAGGCAAUAAUAAAUGCUGGUGAGGGUGUGGGGAAAAGGGAACCCAUGUACACUGUCGGUGGGAAUAUAAAUUAGUACAACUACUAUGGAGAACAGUAUGGAGGGUCCUCACAAAACUAAAAAUAGAACUAUCAUAUGAUCCAGCAAUGCUACUGCUAGGUAUAUAACAAAAAGAAAGGAAAUCAUAUAUUUAAAAGAUAUCUGUACUCUAAUGUUUAUUGCAGCACUAUUUACAAUAGCCAAGAUUUGGAAGCAACCCAAGUGUCCAUCAACAGAUGAACAGAUAAAGAAAAUGUGGUACAUACACACAAUGGAGUACUACUCAGCCAUAAAAAAGAAUGAAAUCCUGUCAUUUACCACAACAUAGAUGGAACCGGAGGACAUUACGUUAAAUGAAAUAAGCCAGGCACAGAAAAACAAACUCUGCAUGCUCUCACUCAUUUGUGGGAGCUAAAAAUUGAAAUGAUUGAACUCAUGGAGAUAAAGAAUAGAAGGAAGGUUACCAGAGGCUAGGAAGAGUAUUGGGGCAGGGGAAGGGAGGUGGGUAUGGUUAAGGGAUACAAAAAUACAGUUAGAAUGAAAAAGAUCUAGUGUCUGAUAGAACAACAGGGUGACUACAGUGAACAAUAAUUUACUGUGCAUUUAAAAAUAACUAAAAUAAUAUAAUUGGAAUGUUUAUAACAGAAAGAAAUGAUAAAUGCUUGAGGUGAUGGUUAUUGCAUUUACCCUGUUGUGAUUAUUAUGCAUUGUAUGACUGUAUCAAAAUAUCUCAUUUACCUCAUAAAUAUAUACAUCUACUAUGUACCCA
This 6393-nucleotide long non-coding RNA is filed under the name Homo sapiens (human). RNAcentral describes it as "HSALNT0140959". Lineage: Eukaryota; Metazoa; Chordata; Mammalia; Primates; Hominidae. The record is from RNAcentral.